AUGAUCUUGCGUGUGCGUAGGAUUUUUUUUGAAAUUACUACGUUCCCCAACACAAAAAACCAAGGAGGAAUGGGAUUCCGUGAUAUCCACUGUUUCAACCUGGCUCUACUUGCAAAACAGGCACGACGUCUCCUUGAUAAUCCUGACUCCUUGUGUGCUACUAUUCUAAGGGCAAAGUACUAUCCUAAUGGUGAUUUGCUGAACUCCAAGCCAAAGCAUGGUGCUUCCUUCACCUGGCAAAGCAUUAUGGCAGGCAUCACUACUCUCAAGCGAGGUUAUAUUUGGCGAGUGAGGGAUGGACAUAGUAUCAAUAUUUGGGAAGAUGCCGAUCCAAAUUGUGCCACUAGGAAGAUUGUGACUCCUAGGAGGGGGCAUUUAUUCUCAAAAGUUGUAGAUUUGAUUGACCCGGUCUCCAAUGAUUGGGAUGAGGACCUGAUUAGACAAACUAUGUGGACCAUUGACGCACAACGGAUUCUUUCAAUCCCAAUUUCGCAACAUAAUAUGACAGAUUUUAUUGCCUGGAGUUAUACGAAAAAUGGUCUGUUUUCGGUACGGUCUGCUUACUCUGUGGAGUGGAACUAUCAGUAUGGGAGCAAACUAAAAUAUUUCAACGGGAUGGGACGGAGCACACGUAACCCUAUAUGGUGUCAGAUAUGGAAGUUGUCUUGUCCGACUAAAGUCAAAAUAUUUUUAUGGCGAACACUACAUGGUACUCUUCCAUGUCGGGCAACACUCACUAAUAGACACAUGAAGAUCUCACCCUUGUGUCCUACAUGCUCCCAGGGUGUAGAAGAUACAAAGCACUUGCUUUUCCUAUGUAGAAAAGCGAAAGAGGUUUGAAAAAGGCUAGGAUUGGAUAUGAUUAUUGAGAGAGCUUGUGAGAUUGAUCGUGCUGGGGAGGCAAUACUGAAAUACUUAUUACUCCUUCCAGAUCAAGAUCUGCGCAUUAUGGGAUACGAAAAUGUUCGAGAAAUGGUAGCUAUCUCUACUUGGUAUCUAUGGUGGGAAAGAAAGAAAUUAGUGCAUAAGGAAUUCACUCAAAAUGCGACCCAGAUCUCAAUGGGGAUCAUAGCUCUUACAUAUAAUUUUGUAAAUGCUUCAUCUUCAAAUGCGUCCAUAAAAAAAGGGGUUGGCAAUGUCCUCCUAGGGGCUUUGUGA
Molecule: ribosomal RNA, 1158 nt
Filed under: Triticum aestivum (bread wheat)
Lineage: Eukaryota; Viridiplantae; Streptophyta; Magnoliopsida; Poales; Poaceae
Description: partial small subunit ribosomal RNA
Source: RNAcentral